RNAcentral lists this non-coding RNA (109 nucleotides) under Asticcacaulis biprosthecium. RNAcentral describes it as "Asticcacaulis biprosthecum SAM-I sequence". It matches the Rfam family "SAM riboswitch aptamer (S box leader)". Rfam says of the family: The SAM riboswitch is found upstream of a number of genes which code for proteins involved in methionine or cysteine biosynthesis in Gram-positive bacteria. The SAM riboswitch acts at the level of transcription termination control. Lineage: Bacteria; Pseudomonadati; Pseudomonadota; Alphaproteobacteria; Caulobacterales; Caulobacteraceae. The record is from RNAcentral.
AACUCAUCGAGACCAGCCGAGGGAAAGGCCCGACGACGCUGGGGCAACCGCCACAAGCCUGUGGAAUGGUGCCAACUCCUACGGGGCGCAUUUCCCCGAAAGAUGAGAG